Mycena vulgaris is the source of this 97-nucleotide non-coding RNA. Lineage: Eukaryota; Fungi; Basidiomycota; Agaricomycetes; Agaricales; Mycenaceae. The record is from the annotation of a GenBank genome assembly.
UCAGAUAUGGUGUAACGGAACACAACCUCUUAUUCUGGAAAUUUCGUGACAAGGUAGAAUUAAGAGGCAGUUCAGGGUUCGAAUCCUUGUGUCUGAA